ACCAGCUGUGGGUGGUCCUGGGAGCUGGCCCUGCCAAGAGGGGGAGGAGGAGGAGGCUGAAGAAGUGUCCCUGGGAAGCGUUGCCCUGGACAGAGCACAAGUCCUGUGCAAUGAAGGCAUUUUGUCUUUGAGGACAGUGACACUCGCAGAGUCAGGCUGCAUGUGACAUCACCCGAGUGGACACUCACUGUGCUCUGGAGAUUUAGCAGCCAUCCUCGGGAAGAGUCUAAAGCAAAGGCUGUGAAAAAGCCGGCAGCAAUUCCUGCCAACCAGCACAGCUGUACGGGCACGGGGGAGCAGGGCUGCUGGGAGAGCAGCCGGGCUCAAAUGGGUCAUGGAGACCCAAGAGUGCCGUGAGAGGCCAUUUCAAGGAUCCAAAGGAGAGGGCAAGGUCUGAACUCUCUCCAUGGCCUUGUGCGCUGUUAAAAAUGGGAAAGUUACACAGGCCUUGGAGAGCACAAAGUCACAACAGAUUAAGUCCAGAGGUGAUUGCAGAGGCUUUGAAGGCCCCGAGGCCACAGCCACAGCACCAUCACCAGCACAGGCACUGCUAUGCAGCUGUGAUGCUUUUCCAUUGUUCUUCUAUUUCUGGACUUGUAAAAAAGUCAAGGGAAUUAAAGAUACUGAAGAU
This is a non-coding RNA of Taeniopygia guttata (zebra finch), 631 nucleotides long. Lineage: Eukaryota; Metazoa; Chordata; Aves; Passeriformes; Estrildidae. The record is from RefSeq and is a predicted model, not a curated record.